This 70-nucleotide transfer RNA is filed under the name Osteochilus pentalineatus. RNAcentral describes it as "tRNA-Asp". It matches the Rfam family "tRNA". From Rfam's summary of the family: Transfer RNA (tRNA) molecules are approximately 80 nucleotides in length. Their secondary structure includes four short double-helical elements and three loops (D, anti-codon, and T loops). The record is from RNAcentral. Lineage: Eukaryota; Metazoa; Chordata; Actinopteri; Cypriniformes; Cyprinidae.
GAGAUAUUAGUAAAGUCUAUUACACCACCUUGUCAAGGUGAAAUCGCAGGUUAAACCCCUACAUGUCUUU